Molecule: ribosomal RNA, 483 nt
Filed under: uncultured bacterium
Lineage: Bacteria
Description: partial 16S ribosomal RNA
Rfam family: Bacterial small subunit ribosomal RNA
Source: RNAcentral
UUGCACGCUGGCGGCAUGCUUUACACAUGCAAGUCGAACGGCAGCGCGGGCUUCGGCCUGGCGGCGAGUGGCGAACGGGUGAGUAAUGCAUCGGAACGUGCCCAGUAGUGGGGGAUAGCCCGGCGAAAGCCGGAUUAAUACCGCAUACGACCUGAGGGUGAAAGCGGGGGACCGAAAGGCCUCGCGCUAUUGGAGCGGCCGAUGUCGGAUUAGCUAGUUGGUGGGGUAAAGGCUUACCAAGGCGACGAUCCGUAGCUGGUCUGAGAGGACGACCAGCCACACUGGGACUGAGACACGGCCCAGACUCCUACGGGAGGCAGCAGUGGGGAAUUUUGGACAAUGGGGGCAACCCUGAUCCAGCCAUGCCGCGUGCGGGAAGAAGGCCUUCGGGUUGUAAACCGCUUUUGUUCGGGAAGAAAUCCUCUGGGCUAAUACCCCGGGGGGAUGACGGUACCGGAAGAAUAAGCACCGGCUAACUACGUG